GAAAUGCGAUAAGUAAUGUGAAUUGCAGAAUUCAGUGAAUCAUCGAAUCUUUGAACGCACCUUGCGCUCCUUGGUAUGCCUGGGAGCAUGCCUGUUUGAGUAUCAUGAAAUCUUCAAAGUAAAUCUUUUGUUAACUCAAUUGGUUUCUACUUUGGUAUUGGAGGUCUUUGCAGCUUCACACCUGCUCCUCUUUGUUCAUUAGCUGGAUCUCAGUGUUAUGCUUGGUUCCACUCGGCGUGAUAAGUUAUCUAUCGCUGAGGACACUGUAAAAGGUGGCCAAGGUAAAUGCAGAUGAACCGCUUCUAAUAGUCCAUUGACUUGGACAAUACUUUUAUGAUCUGAUCUCAAAUCAGGUAGGACUACCCGCUGACCUUAAGC
Molecule: unclassified non-coding RNA, 378 nt
Filed under: plant metagenome
Description: partial contains 5.8S ribosomal RNA, internal transcribed spacer 2, and large subunit ribosomal RNA
Rfam family: 5.8S ribosomal RNA (bases 1-105)
Source: RNAcentral